UAGCUAGAUAGUUUAAGACAAAGUUUUCACACAUCUAAGGCGACUUGUGACGCACUUGUCUCUGAAGCAACUUAGCUAGUAAGUAGCCUUCUAAAAUACUGUUGUAAAAAAAUAAAAUACUGUUGUAGCCGUUUUCCUUAAGUCUAAUGCUCUCUUCCACAGACCAGUGGGCUUGAGAUGCCCUUUACAGAAGUCAGACAUUUGCACUUGGGACUGACCUGUCUGCACGGAACUAAGCCUGGACAGUGGUUCUAGAAAGUUCCGUCACUUCCUGUGCUGGGCUGAGUGUCCUCAUCCCCCCAUAAGGUGGGUGACACUGUGCUUCUCGUGGGCUUGUGAGGAUUCAGGUAACUGCAAAAUGCUUCAGGGACCUCCUGGAACAAGGCUGGCGUCAGCUGACCACAGCCAUGAUUGGCAACACUUCCUUCAAGUCUCCUGGUACCUGUUAUUUUUUUCCUAAAUAGCUUAAAUAUUUUGGUUUUCUAAAAUUAAAAUCUUAGAAAAUUUACAACAUUCCCGUGUUUCAGAGAAAGAAAACUCUUGGCUUUUGCAUACAUUAUCUUUAAAGGCAGUUUUCAUUAAGAAAAUUUUAUUUGUUUGUUUUGUUUGGCCCUAACACGCAGCUUGCAGGACCUUAGUUCCCCCACCAGGGAUCAAAUCCGCGCCCUCGGCAGUGAAAGCACCAGAGUCCUAACCACUGGACCUCUAGGGAAUUCCAAGAAAAUUUUAAGAAGGAUUUUAACUCUGAAUUGAAGAAGAAGGAGCCACUGUGAAGAGCCCAAGAGUGGAAGGCUAAUGCGGAGAACCUUGAUGCCGGUGCCAGAUUUUUUUUUUUUUUUUUUAAAUAUUUAUUUAUUUAUUUAUUUAUUUUGGCUGCUCUGGGUCUUCGCUGCAGCACACGGACUCUUAGUUGCGGCGUGCAUGUGGGAUCUAGUUCCCUGAGCAGGGAUCGAAGCCGGGGCCCCUCCAUUGGGAGCGUGGAGUCUUAACCACUGGGCCACCAGGGAAGUCCCCCCAGUGCCAGACUUUACAAGGACUAAGAGAAAUGAAAACGUAUCCGUAAAGACUUGCACACCAGUGUUCACAGCAGCGUUGCUCCUGAUGGCCAAAAAUGGAAACCACCCAACCGUCCAUCACCUGAGGAGUAGAUAAAAUGUGGUAUAUCCACACAGCGGAACACUUACUACUCAGCAGUACAGAGGAACAAAAUACCAACAUGUGCUACAACAUGAACAAAUCCCCAAAUAAUUAUAAGUGAAAGAAGCAGAUGCAAAAGAGUAUGAUUCCAUUUCUAGGAAAUGUCCAGAAAAGGCAAAUCCAUGGAGAAAGUAAGUCAGUCAGUGGCACCAGGUGGCCCACAGGCACCUCCCCCCCACACGCCUCCCCCCUGUGGCCAGCUCCCUGUGCUGGUGAGAGAGCUCUGGCAGGUGACUAGUGAGCACACACAGAAAGCUGGCCCCAACCUGGGGGCCACGGAAGGACCACAAACUCGAGCUUUAGCACCAGCCUUGGGAAAGCAAGGUACAUGAAAAGGCUCUCAACAUCACUGAUCAUCAGGGACAUGCAAAUCAAAACCACAAUGAGAUGGACUUAUAUACACGACCAAAUGUAAAACAGAUAGCUGGUGGGAAGCAGCCGCAAGGCACAGGGAGAUCAGCUCGGUGCUUUGU
Physeter macrocephalus (sperm whale) is the source of this 1670-nucleotide long non-coding RNA. RefSeq lists it as uncharacterized. The record is from RefSeq and is a predicted model, not a curated record. NCBI's taxonomy places the organism in Eukaryota, Metazoa, Chordata, Mammalia, Artiodactyla, Physeteridae. The transcript has 3 exons.